AUGCCUUUCACUCGCAAGCAUGGCAUUGCACGAAUGCGUGUGGGAGUUCUGGAUGUGGAUGCGGUGCCGUGUUUCCUAGGAUGGGUCUAUGAGGGCUUGAUUUAUGAUCUGCGGAUUGAGAUUGAGGGAGCUCCAUUGAUCCAAAAUGCAAACAUGGGCAUGGGUACGGACGGUGGUCCUGAUGGUGGGGACGGCAGGCAGGAUGAUCUCAUGGACCAUGACCAGUCUGCUAAUCAUUCAUCUACCCCCGGAGGGUCAGGUCAGGUAUCUGCGGCCCCAACGGGCAAGACUUUGUCCACUUCGACGCCUAUGGAGGGGCUUCAGCGUGGUAUUGAUGCGGACUUGACACCGUUUCGGCUUCCGAGAGAGAGGUAUGAGGAUGUUGCCUCACAUUCCACGUCUACGGAGUGCACGACACCCGCUACCACGUCGACGCCUAGGGCAAGGCUUCACUUUGGAUCUUUUGGUGCUGUUUCGGCACCUGGGCACCUUUGGGGCGAUAGAGUGGACAUGGAUGACCCGGCUGAGUAA
RNAcentral lists this ribosomal RNA (531 nucleotides) under Triticum aestivum (bread wheat). RNAcentral describes it as "partial small subunit ribosomal RNA". Lineage: Eukaryota; Viridiplantae; Streptophyta; Magnoliopsida; Poales; Poaceae. The record is from RNAcentral.